CGAACGCUGGCGGCGUGCUUAACACAUGCAAGUCGAACGGAAAGGCCCUGCUUUUGUGGGGUGCUCGAGUGGCGAACGGGUGAGUAACACGUGAGUAACCUGCCCUUGACUUUGGGAUAACUUCAGGAAACUGGGGCUAAUACCGGAUAGGAGCUCCUGCUGCAUGGUGGGGGUUGGAAAGUUUCGGCGGUUGGGGAUGGACUCGCGGCUUAUCAGCUUGUUGGUGGGGUAGUGGCUUACCAAGGCUUUGACGGGUAGCCGGCCUGAGAGGGUGACCGGCCACAUUGGGACUGAGAUACGGCCCAGACUCCUACGGGAGGCAGCAGUGGGGAAUAUUGCACAAUGGGCGGAAGCCUGAUGCAGCAACGCCGCGUGCGGGAUGACGGCCUUCGGGUUGUAAACCGCUUUCGCCUGUGACGAAGCGUGAGUGACGGUAAUGGGUAAAGAAGCAACGGCUAACUACGUG
This 466-nucleotide ribosomal RNA is filed under the name uncultured bacterium. RNAcentral describes it as "partial 16S ribosomal RNA". It matches the Rfam family "Bacterial small subunit ribosomal RNA", at positions 30 to 507 of the family's 1533-position model. The record is from RNAcentral.